RNAcentral lists this ribosomal RNA (254 nucleotides) under uncultured bacterium. Its description in RNAcentral is "partial 16S ribosomal RNA". It matches the Rfam family "Bacterial small subunit ribosomal RNA", at positions 524 to 776 of the family's 1533-position model. The record is from RNAcentral.
UACGUAGGGUGCGAGCGUUGUCCGGAAUUAUUGGGCGUAAAGAGCUCGUAGGCGGUGUGUCACGUCGGCCGUGAAAACCUGCAGCUUAACUGUGGGCGUGCGGUCGAUACGGGCAUCACUGGAGUUCAGCAGGGGAGACUGGAAUUCCUGGUGUAGCGGUGAAAUGCGCAGAUAUCAGGAGGAACACCGGUGGCGAAGGCGGGUCUCUGGGCCGAUACUGACGCUGAGGAGCGAAAGCGUGGGGAGCAAACAGG